UCUCAUCCUUAUUGUAUCAUGCACAUAUGUCGCAAUAAGGGGAAAAAUAAAAAUGGAGCACGUGUGUGCCUCACCAGUGCAGCUUUUUGUCGUUUAAUGAUGGAAGAGGAAGGAGAGGCGCUCGCGGAGGCUUUAAUUGGUGUCUGGGUUUGCUUUGUCAGGGGAGUGUCGCUGACAUGAACUCAAACCUGUGAGGAAAAAAAAAACAAAACAUCCUGUCCCACACCUGGCCUAGAGGCCUCUUGAACGUGCGUUAAUGACUUAGUCAAUAACGCUUAAGACGUGGUCGCGUAGCAACCGAAGGCUCCCAUCAAAAGGGAAAGCCACCCAGCUAAUCGGGGGGCGGGGGGGUGUUUUUAAAUAAGACAGAUAAUAGAGCAAAAAGCGAGUAGGGAAUAAAAUCACGCACCUCAUCGUUUAUCAGCUACAUUCCUUGCGCUCGGGGGAAGGAUUUAAAGUGCAAAUCCUGCACAUGAGAAGCCCUCGACUUUUAAGAGGCGAUAUCCGUCGGCUUCACGAAAACGCUGACAAAUUCUAGCAGAUGAGAUUGCAGAGUUGAACCGUAAACCAACAACAGAAGUGGACCAAGAAGGGCGCCCUGAGGUAACAGACACGUACUGAUCAUAAAUGCAAACGUUUCAACGUUUUUAUUGAGGCAGACUCAAAUGUCCAUGAGAGACUGCAACAUUGAAAGCAGUCAUAAACACACACACACACAAAAAAAAAACAUUAAUAUCGUACAUUUCCGAGGUUAAUGAAUUCCAACUGUGAGUCACAAUCUCGCAUUCAUUCGUUUGCUCGUUCUUUUGUCGAUUUGUGAGUCAUUAAAGUCUCCACGGGGACUUCAAUGAUGGAAAGGGCAACGUUCAGACACUUUGGGAAAGGGGAUUGUCUCCACUUGAAAUUGGUCUGCUCUUCGGUCAAAUCAUUAGGCACAGUACACGUUUCAAAUAUUAUUCGUUUAACAAUACGUUUAUUUUUGCGGUUAGAGGCUUUAAUUUUUUUUUUUUUGGGUGGGUGUGCAAUCGGAGUUUUAGAAUGAUGUAAGCACAGAGGCUCCAAAGUGUCAACAUAUUAGAAAGAAUGCUUAGGACGGUGCAGUCUAACUACAGUACAAGCCAAUUAUGACAAAAUUUUCA
Molecule: long non-coding RNA, 1139 nt
Organism: Hippocampus comes (tiger tail seahorse)
Lineage: Eukaryota; Metazoa; Chordata; Actinopteri; Syngnathiformes; Syngnathidae
Exons: 2
Source: RefSeq, a predicted model, not a curated record